RNAcentral lists this ribosomal RNA (253 nucleotides) under uncultured bacterium. RNAcentral's name for it is "partial 16S ribosomal RNA". It matches the Rfam family "Bacterial small subunit ribosomal RNA", at positions 79 to 334 of the family's 1533-position model. The record is from RNAcentral.
CUUUCUUUGCUGGCGACCGGCGCACGGGUGAGUAACACGUAUCCAACCUGCCCUUUACUCGGGGAUAGCCUUUCGAAAGAAAGAUUAAUACCCGAUAGUAUAAUGAUUCCGCAUGGUUUCAUUAUUAAAGGAUUCCGUAAAGGAUGGGGAUGCGUUCCAUUAGGUUGUUGGUGAGAUAACGGCUCACCAAGCCUUCGAUGGAUAGGGGUUCUGAGAGGAAGGUCCCCCACAUUGGAACUGAGACACGGUCCAA